UGGGGAAUUUUGGACAAUGGGCACAAGCCUGAUCCAGCCAUGCCGCGUGCGGGAAGAAGGCCUUCGGGUUGUAAACCGCUUUUGUCAGGGAAGAAAUCUUCUGAGUUAAUACCUCGGGAGGAUGACGGUACCUGAAGAAUAAGCACCGGCUAACUACGUGCCAGCAGCCGCGGUAAUACGUAGGGUGCAAGCGUUAAUCGGAAUUACUGGGCGUAAAGCGUGCGCAGGCGGUUUUGUAAGACAGAGGUGAAAUCCCCGGGCUCAACCUGGGAACUGCCCUUGUGACUGCAAGGCUUGAGUGCGGCAGAGGGGGAUGGAAUUCCGCGUGUAGCAGUGAAAUGCGUAGAUAUGCGGAGGAACACCGAUGGCGAAGGCAAUCCCCUGGGCCUGCACUGACGCUCAUGCACGAAAGCGUGGGGAGCAAACAGGAUUAGAUACCCUGGUAGUCCACGCCCUAAACGAUGUCAACUGGUUGUUGGGAAGGUUCCUUCUCAGUAACGUAGCUAACGCGUGAAGUUGACCGCCUGGGGAGUACGGCCGCAAGGUUGAAACUUAAAUGAAUUGACGGGGUCAUAGCUGUUUCCUG
This 586-nucleotide ribosomal RNA is filed under the name uncultured bacterium. RNAcentral's name for it is "partial 16S ribosomal RNA". It matches the Rfam family "Bacterial small subunit ribosomal RNA", at positions 355 to 1376 of the family's 1533-position model. The record is from RNAcentral.